UGUGGCUCAGCGGUAGAGCACUCGCCUAGCAUGUGUGAGGCCCUGGGUUUGAUCCUCAGCA
Molecule: transfer RNA, 61 nt
Filed under: Urocitellus parryii (Arctic ground squirrel)
Lineage: Eukaryota; Metazoa; Chordata; Mammalia; Rodentia; Sciuridae
Also listed under: 2 other names
Description: Spermophilus parryii (Arctic ground squirrel) tRNA
Rfam family: tRNA
About the family: Transfer RNA (tRNA) molecules are approximately 80 nucleotides in length. Their secondary structure includes four short double-helical elements and three loops (D, anti-codon, and T loops). Further hydrogen bonds mediate the characteristic L-shaped molecular structure. tRNAs have two regions of fundamental functional importance: the anti-codon, which is responsible for specific mRNA codon recognition, and the 3' end, to which the tRNAs corresponding amino acid is attached (by aminoacyl-tRNA synthetases). tRNAs cope with the degeneracy of the genetic code in two manners: having more than one tRNA (with a specific anti-codon) for a particular amino acid; and 'wobble' base-pairing, i.e. permitting non-standard base-pairing at the 3rd anti-codon position.
Source: Rfam by way of RNAcentral